CGGAGAGCUGGGAGUAGAGAAAUCUUUUAGUGGCGAACGGGUGAGUAACGCGUGAGGAACCUGCCUCAAAGAGGGGGACAACAGUUGGAAACGACUGCUAAUACCGCAUAAGCCCACGGUCUCGCAUGGGACUGAGGGAAAAGGAGCAAUCCGCUUUGAGAUGGCCUCGCGUCCGAUUAGCUGGUUGGUGAGGUAACGGCCCACCAAGGCGACGAUCGGUAGCCGGACUGAGAGGUUGAACGGCCACAUUGGGACUGAGACACGGCCCAGACUCCUACGGGAGGCAGCAGUGGGGAAUAUUGCACAAUGGGGGAAACCCUGAUGCAGCGACGCCGCGUGGAGGAAGAAGGUCUUCGGAUUGUAAACUCCUGUUGUUGGGGACGAUAAUGACGGUACCCAACAAGGAAGUGACGGCUAACUACGUGCCAGCAGCCGCGGUAAAACGUAGGUCACAAGCGUUGUCCGG
RNAcentral lists this ribosomal RNA (466 nucleotides) under uncultured bacterium. Its description in RNAcentral is "bacterial SSU rRNA". It matches the Rfam family "Bacterial small subunit ribosomal RNA", at positions 67 to 548 of the family's 1533-position model. The record is from RNAcentral.